This 447-nucleotide ribosomal RNA is filed under the name uncultured bacterium. RNAcentral's name for it is "partial 16S ribosomal RNA". It matches the Rfam family "Bacterial small subunit ribosomal RNA", at positions 29 to 523 of the family's 1533-position model. The record is from RNAcentral.
AACGAACGCUGGCGGCAGGCUUAACACAUGCAAGUCGAACGCCCCGCAAGGGGAGUGGCAGACGGGUGAGUAACGCGUGGGAAUCUACCGUACCCUACGGAACAACAGUUGGAAACGACUGCUAAUACCGUAUACGCCCUACGGGGGAAAGAUUUAUCGGGGUAUGAUGAGCCCGCGUUGGAUUAGCUAGUUGGUGGGGUAAAGGCCUACCACGGCGACGAUCCAUAGCUGGGCUGAGAGGAUGAGCAGCCACAUUGGGACUGAGACACGGCCCAAACUCCUACGCGAGGCAGCAGUGGGAGAUAUUGGACAAGGGGCGCAAGCCUGAUCCAGCCAUGCCGCGUGAGUGAUGAAGGUCUUAGGAUUGUAAAGCUCUUUCACCGAUGAAGAUAAUGACGGUAGUCGGAGAAGAAGCCCCGGCUAACUUCGUGCCAGCCGCCGCCGUAA